RNAcentral lists this long non-coding RNA (482 nucleotides) under Dasypus novemcinctus (nine-banded armadillo). RNAcentral's name for it is "lncRNA (ENSDNOG00000051856.1)". Lineage: Eukaryota; Metazoa; Chordata; Mammalia; Cingulata; Dasypodidae. The record is from RNAcentral.
AGUCCUGGUAUUUCAAGGCCCCUUUUCUUUUUUCAGCUCUGCCUCCUCAGGUCUCUCCUUGCCUAGAUAAGAUGGUAUUAAGGAGAAGUUCCUGACCCCUGGCUCCUAGCUACAUUGUCCUCGGAACCAGUGACACCAGAGGAUGUGCCAGUGGACUUUACGUUGUAAGAAUGAAAACAGACCAUUACCAGAGACCCUGAAAAACCACAUGAACUCUGUCUCCUUGGAAACAUCAUCUUCUAAAGCAACUUGCUACACCACAGACAAAAUUCCUCUGCAAUCAAAUGCUGAAUCAGGUAUCUUGCAUUAUACAGUAGAUGCAUUUCCUAUAGAUGGGUGGGUAAGUGACCCUUUGUAAAUUAACUCUUUGUCCCAUGUGUUUACAUUACCAUCUGAGAAAUUCUAUAACAUGAGUACUUACUUUUCCGUUUCCACUUCCUCUUUUUUUUUUCUUUCUGGUCAUCCUUCCUUAUCUCUCUGCC